This 98-nucleotide microRNA precursor is filed under the name Olea europaea subsp. europaea. The record is from RNAcentral. Lineage: Eukaryota; Viridiplantae; Streptophyta; Magnoliopsida; Lamiales; Oleaceae.
UUCACACACACACACACACACACACACACACACAUAUAUAUAUAUAUAUAUAUAUAUAUAUAUAUGUGUGUGUGUGUGUGUGUGUGUGUGUGUGUGAA